RNAcentral lists this long non-coding RNA (474 nucleotides) under Parus major (Great Tit). RNAcentral's name for it is "lncRNA (ENSPMJG00000002464.1)". The record is from RNAcentral. Lineage: Eukaryota; Metazoa; Chordata; Aves; Passeriformes; Paridae.
CCCCCGGGACCCUCAGGGACCCCCUGGGACACCCAGGGACCCCCAAUGAUCCUCCCCGGGACCCCCCCUGGAACCCCAGGACUCCACAGGGACCCCCAGUGACCCCUGCACUGUCCCCAGAGUUGUGUCCGUGUGUCUCACCUGUCUCACCUGUCCCUGUUCCACCUCUGUGUGUGUGUCCUGUGUGUCUGUGUGUCCUGUGUGUGUUCCUGUGUGUCUCACCUGGCUCUGUUCCACCUCUGUGUGUGUGUCCUGUGUGUGUCUGUGUGUCCGUGUGUCUGUGUGUCUCACCUGGCCCUGUUCCACCUGUCUGUGUGUCCAUGUCUCACCUGUCCAUGUCUCACCUGUCCAUGUCUCACCUGUCUCACCUGUCCAUGUCUCACCUGUCCAUGUCUCACCUGUCCAUGUCUCACCUGUGUCUCACCUGUGCAGGUCCAGGUCCAGGAUGGUCCAGAUGAGAACGGGGAGAUGUUC